This 484-nucleotide ribosomal RNA is filed under the name uncultured bacterium. RNAcentral's name for it is "partial 16S ribosomal RNA". It matches the Rfam family "Bacterial small subunit ribosomal RNA", at positions 29 to 507 of the family's 1533-position model. The record is from RNAcentral.
AUUGAACGCUGGCGGCAGGCCUAACACAUGCAAGUCGAGCGGAGGAAGGGAGCUUGCUCCUGGAUUCAGCGGCGGACGGGUGAGUAAGGCCUGGGAAUGGGCGGGGGAUGGGGGGAUAACGCCGGGAAACGGGCCCCAUGACGCCACAGGUCCGGAGGGGGAAGGAGGGGCAUCUGCGGACCUCCGGCAAGCAGGGGACCGAAGGUCGGGUUGGCGAGUUGGCGGGGUAAAGGCCUCCCAAGGCGACGAUCCGUAACGGGUCUGAGAGGAUGAUCAGUCACACUGGAACUGAGACACGGUCCAGACUCCUACGGGAGGCCGCAGUGGGGAAUAUUGGACGAUGGGCGAAAGCCUGAUCCAGCCAUGCCGCGUGUGUGAAGAAGGUCUUCGGAUUGUAAAGCACUUUAAGUUGGGAGGAAGGGCAGUAAGUUAAUACCUUGCUGUUUUGACGUUACCCACAGAAUAAGCACCGGCUAACUUCGUG